This 379-nucleotide ribosomal RNA is filed under the name uncultured bacterium. Its description in RNAcentral is "partial 16S ribosomal RNA". It matches the Rfam family "Bacterial small subunit ribosomal RNA", at positions 338 to 732 of the family's 1533-position model. The record is from RNAcentral.
CCUACGGGUGGCAGCAGUGGGGAAUAUUGGGCAAUGGGCGCAAGCCUGACCCAGCAACGCCGCGUGAAGGAAGAAGGCUUUCCGGUUGUAAACUUCCUUUAAGAGGGAAGCGCAGAAGACGUUACCUCUUGAAUAAGCCACGGCUAACUACGUGCCAGGAGCCGCGGUAAUAAGUAGGUGACAAGCGUUGUCCGGGUUUACUGGGGGUAAAGGGCGUGCAGCGGGGAAGACAAGUCAGAUGUGAAAUCCCGCGGCUCAACCGCGGAACUGCAUUUGAAACUGUUUUUCUUGAGUACCGGAGAGGUAAGCGGAAUGCGUGGUGUAGCGGUGAAAUGCGUAGAUAUAAGGAAGAACACCGGUGGCGAAGGCAGCAGACUGG